Molecule: long non-coding RNA, 1015 nt
Filed under: Danio rerio (zebrafish)
Lineage: Eukaryota; Metazoa; Chordata; Actinopteri; Cypriniformes; Danionidae
Description: lncRNA si:dkey-250a19.1 (ENSDARG00000097995.3)
Source: RNAcentral
GGUUAGCAAAACAGUCCGACAGGGAUUCGACUCUGAAUUUACCUGAAAGUUUAACGUUAAGUUACUCACGAUGAAGUUAUUCGAGUAUUUAUUUGUUACAUAUAACAGAAACUGUGCACUUCAGAAACAAGCCAUAAUAAUAGCGCUGAAUGUUUAACAGUGACAAAAACCAAACAAGGAAAUCAUCUUGUUGUGCGGACAGUGGACACAGAUUUUCCCUGUGAAAAAAUUAUCAGCCAUCUCUCCUGUACUGUUGACUCACGGGGAGCGGCAGUGGUCAAAGGUGUGGUUAACGGCUUAACUCGACGUCCCAAAAGAUCGGUCACACACUCCUUAAAGUGGCAUCGCCUGAAGGGCACUGAUAACACGCAUCCUGCGUUCCUAUUGGUUGAUGUCCAGAAAACCAGCAAUCUCACAUGGAAGAAUCUGUACAUUAGAGGAAAGAAGUGACUGAGAUGUCAGAUCAGGAAAAAAGAUGAAGCGACCAAGGAUGGACAAAGAGGCGACAGACAGAGCUCCCCUGAGGUGCCAGGAUGAAUAAGCUGGGGAAGAAGCUUGGUGUCAACAGGUGGACGUUUGACGGGAGAGGCGUGGAUGUGUCCAGCCAGUGGAACCUGGCGUCUGCUUGAACGCCCGUCAACACUGUACGCACCCACGUAUUCACACAAAUGCGCAUGCAUGUAAAGGGGGGAAAAACUCUUCACAGCUCUUCGCUUUCUGACAGAUUGAUCGGAGUUGCCAGAACGCUCUUCGGCUGUCAGUUUUGUAGCAACUAAAUCAUUCUCCCCAAAGAUUUAAGCAUUUGAAAUUAAGAUUUUACGCUGCGAAUCAUAUGCCAAAAAAGCACCUAUUGCAUGUCACAUGCAUUAAACAUUCAGACGACAUUGUUUUGAUGAAUUACUGACCAUCCGUUGACCCCCUGAUGGUUCUCUACUGACCAGGAACACUGAAUAUUUGACAACUUUUCUAAUAUGGUUCCCUUUGGCGGCAGAUAACCGGUGCAUUUUGAAAUCUG